UACGGGGGGGGCAAGCGUUGUUCGGAAUUACUGGGCGUAAAGGGCUUGUAGGUGGCCAACUAAGUCAGACGUGAAAUCCCUCGGCUUAACCUGGGAACUGCGUCUGAUACUGGAAGGCUUGAGUAUGGGAGAGGGAUGUAGAAUUCCAGGUGUAGCGGUGAAAUGCGUAGAUAUCUGGAGGAAUACCGGUGGCGAAGGCGGCAUCCUGGACCAUUACUGACGCUGAGGCGCGAAAGCUAGGGGAGCAAACGGG
This 253-nucleotide ribosomal RNA is filed under the name uncultured bacterium. RNAcentral describes it as "partial 16S ribosomal RNA". It matches the Rfam family "Bacterial small subunit ribosomal RNA", at positions 524 to 776 of the family's 1533-position model. The record is from RNAcentral.